AUUGAACGCUGGCGGCAUGCUUUACACAUGCAAGUCGAACGGCAGCGCGGGCUUCGGCCUGGCGGCGAGUGGCGAACGGGUGAGUAAUGCAUCGGAACGUGCCCAGUAGUGGGGGAUAGCCCGGCGAAAGCCGGAUUAAUACCGCAUACGACCUGAGGGUGAAAGCGGGGGACGGAAAGGCCUCGCGCCAUGGGACGGGCCGAUGCCGGAUUAGCUAGUUGGUGGGGUAAAGGCUUACCAAGGCGACGAUCCGUAGCUGGUCUGAGAGGACGACCAGCCACACUGGGACUGAGACACGGCCCAGACUCCUACGGGAGGCAGCAGUGGGGAAUUUUGGACAAUGGGGGCAACCCUGAUCCAGCCAUGCCGCGUGCGGGAAGAAGGCCUUCGGGUUGUAAACCGCUUUUGUUCGGGAAGAAAUCCUCUGGGCUAAUACCCCGGGGGGAUGACGGUACCGGAAGAAUAAGCACCGGCUAACUACGUG
Molecule: ribosomal RNA, 484 nt
Filed under: uncultured bacterium
Lineage: Bacteria
Description: partial 16S ribosomal RNA
Rfam family: Bacterial small subunit ribosomal RNA
Source: RNAcentral